UACAGAGGUGGCGAGCGUUGUUCGGAUUUACUGGGCGUAAAGGGUGCGUAGGUGGUUCUGUGUGUCGGAUGUGAAAUCCCAUGGCUUAACCAUGGAACUGCAUCGGAAACUACAGAACUUGAGUGCAGGAGGGGAGAGCGGAAUUCUCAGUGUAGCGGUGAAAUGCGUUGAUAUUGAGAAGAACACCGGUGGCGAAGGCGGCUCUCUGGAAUGCAACUGACACUGAGGCACGAAAGCUGGGGGAGCAAACAGGAUUAGAUACCCUGGUAGUCCCAGCCGUAAACGGUGUGCACUUGGUGUGGGGGGGAUUGACCCUCUCCGUGCCGGAGCUAACGCGUUAAGUGCACCGCCUGGGGAGUACGGCCGCAAGGCUAAAACUCAAAGAAAUUGACGGGGGCCCGCACAAGCGGAGGAGCAUGUGGCUCAAUUCGAUGCAACGCGAAGAACCUUACCAGGGCUUGACAUGCAGCUGCAGGCCUCGUGAAAACGAGGCCGCUUUCGAGGGUGCUGCACAGGUGCUGCAUGGCUGUCGUCAGUUCGUGCCGUGAGGUGUUGGGUUAAGUCCCGCAACGAACGCAACCCCUGUGACUAGUUGCUACCUUUGGUGAUAAAUCAGAGGGCACUCUAGCCAGACUGCCUGUGUUAAGCAGGAGGAAGGUGGGGAUGACGUCAAGUCAGUAUGGCCUUUAUGCCCUGGGCUGCACACGUGCUACAAUGGCCGGUACAGUGGGAAGCAAGACCGCGAGGUGGAGCAAAUCCCUUAAAACCGGCCCCAGUUCAGGUUGAAGGCUGCAACUCGCCUUCAUGAAGUCGGAUUCGCUAGUAACGGCGCAUCAGCUACGGCGCCGUGAAUACGUUCCCGGGCCU
This 867-nucleotide ribosomal RNA is filed under the name uncultured bacterium. RNAcentral describes it as "SSU rRNA". It matches the Rfam family "Bacterial small subunit ribosomal RNA", at positions 524 to 1381 of the family's 1533-position model. The record is from RNAcentral.